This 649-nucleotide long non-coding RNA is filed under the name Strigops habroptila (Kakapo). RNAcentral describes it as "lncRNA (ENSSHBG00005002418.1)". Lineage: Eukaryota; Metazoa; Chordata; Aves; Psittaciformes; Psittacidae. The record is from RNAcentral.
UUCUUUUUUGAGUCAUGAAAGAUUUGAAGGAAGAAAAGAAAAAUUACAGUCUGAAAUGCAACAUGAAAUAGCAACAGUGAUUUAUGACCUGGAUGCUUCUGAUAAGUUGCCACUCUAGCAUGCCAAGCUGGAUUCUUUAAAAAAAUAUGGGAAAAUAAAUAUUUGAAAGUAUGUCCUAUUAAAACUGAUCCCUUUAGUUUGCAUUGCUAACAGAAGGAAAGCAUACAUUGAUCCCUGUAAGAAAGUGUCUGAAGAAUCACUGGAAUUCAAGUUGGUUUUGUUCACAUCAGGGAAUAUAGGUAUCUCAUCCGUCAGGUUGAAUAGAACUGCAUCUACAGGAAAAAGCAACAGCAAAAAGUCUUCACAUGCUCCUUGUGUUUCUAGCAUAAAGAUGUUAUAGAAGCACCACAUCUUCCAAGGCUUCCCAGCAAACCUUGCAGAAGAGAUUCCAGACAGCAAAUCAGGAUAGACCACUCCACCUCCUGGCUCCAUCCUCCUUUCAGGCAGUUGUAGAGAACGAUAAAGUCCCCCCUGAGCCUUCUCUUCUCCAGACUAAUACCACCAGUUCCUCCAGCUGCUCCUCAUCACACUUGUGAUCCAAGCCCUUCACCAGCUCCGUGGCCCUUCCCUGGAACCGCUCCCGCACCGC